This is a long non-coding RNA of Nilaparvata lugens (brown planthopper), 926 nucleotides long. RefSeq lists it as uncharacterized. The transcript has 3 exons. NCBI's taxonomy places the organism in Eukaryota, Metazoa, Arthropoda, Insecta, Hemiptera, Delphacidae. The record is from RefSeq and is a predicted model, not a curated record.
GCAAGCUGCAGAUGGCUGUGCGUAAUCACAUUACAUUACAGUAUAAACACUUCUAAAAAAAAGAAUUAUAAAUUCGAAAAAAUGAUGUAUUCAUGAAAUAAUGCCUGUAACACACUUUUAUUAUAUACUGAAAUAAAUGAAUAUAUAUUUAUUGGAAUUUUAAGUAAUAAAUAGUGUUCAGACGUUAUAUGAAUGUUCCCCUUUAUUGUCUGGCAUUGUGUGGUGGAGGGGGCAAUCAUACGGUGAUGCACAUAGCAUAAUCGCCAGUUGCCGUUUGCCAGCCAACCGAACAGCUCACUUCUCGUAAUGUGCGAUUUUUGCAAAGUGAUUUAUUGAUUUAUUGUGAUUUAUUACAAGUGUUGUCUCGUCUCGUGUCAUGAUCUGGACCCGGUAUCCUGGAAGCAAGGAGGAUUUUUGGACAUGAAGAUGAUUACGAACAAGUGCAGCUAUCUCUGGAGAGGUAAUGCACCUACUGAUAUCCCGUGAUAAGAACUUGGGAGAGAUUUAGUGAAAACCUGGAGAACGGCCACUUAGCUCACAAAUCUAAGCUGUUCACAUCAAGCUGAUAUUUGUGACAGCCAUUAUAGCUUUAAUCAUUUUCUCGAUUGAUCAAAGCACCACAGGCUGCAUCGUUCGUCACCUCUGCCUUUAAGCACUUUAUCACUUACUCCAAUAAGCCAACCAAAUAUCCUUAAUAAGUUCUUAUUGACUGUGUAUGACUGAUUAAUAUCCAUGUUUUGUAUUUAGCCAUACUUUUGAACCGGUACCUUACCUUAUCAAUUACAUGGUAAUAUAUUUUCUAAAAUCAUUUGAAAAGAGAUGAAAAUACGAAAUCAUAUUUCCAUCUAUUUACAUAUGAUUUCAUGUAACAGAAAUAUUACCGUGCAAUGCGGUACAUUAGUAAGUUGACAUUAAAAACACACAAU